GGAAUUUUGCGCAAUGGGCGAAAGCCUGACGCAGCAACGCCGCGUGAGUGAUGAAGGCCUUAGGGUUGUAAAGCUCUUUUACCAGGGAUGAUAAUGACAGUACCUGGAGAAUAAGCUCCGGCUAACUCCGUGCCAGCAGCCGCGGUAAUACGGAGGGAGCUAGCGUUGUUCGGAAUUACUGGGCGUAAAGCGCACGUAGGCGGCUUUUCAAGUCAGGGGUGAAAUCCCGGGGCUCAACCCUGGAACUGCCCUUGAAACUGGAUGGCUAGAAUCCUGGAGAGGCGAGUGGAAUUCCGAGUGUAGAGGUGAAAUUCGUAGAUAUUCGGAAGAACACCAGUGGCGAAGGCGACUCGCUGGACAGGUAUUGACGCUGAGGUGCGAAAGCGUGGGGAGCAAAC
Molecule: ribosomal RNA, 398 nt
Filed under: uncultured bacterium
Lineage: Bacteria
Description: bacterial SSU rRNA
Rfam family: Bacterial small subunit ribosomal RNA
Source: RNAcentral